GACGAACGCUGGCGGCGUGCUUAACACAUGCAAGUCGAACGGAAAGGCCCUGCUUUUGUGGGGUUCUCGAGUGGCGAACGGGUGAGUAACACGUGAGUAACCUGCCCUUGACUUUGGUAUAACUUCAGGAAACUGGGGCUAAUACCGUAUAGGAUCUCCUGCUGCAUGGUGGGGGUUGGAAAGUUUCGGCGGGUGGGGAUGGACUCGCGGCUUAUCAGCUUGUUGGUGGGGUAGUGGCUUACCAAGGCUUUGACGGGUAGCCGGCCUGAGAGGGUGAACGGCCACAUUGGGACUGAGAUACGGCCCAGACUCCUACGGGAGGCAGCAGUGGGGAAUAUUGCACAAUGGGCGGAAGCCUGAUGCAGCAACGCCGCGUGCGGGAUGACGGCCUUCGGGUUGUAAACCGCUUUCGCCUGUGACGAAGCGUGAGUGACGGUAAUGGGUAAAGAAGCACCGGCUAACUACGUG
RNAcentral lists this ribosomal RNA (468 nucleotides) under uncultured bacterium. RNAcentral's name for it is "partial 16S ribosomal RNA". It matches the Rfam family "Bacterial small subunit ribosomal RNA", at positions 28 to 507 of the family's 1533-position model. The record is from RNAcentral.